Molecule: ribosomal RNA, 452 nt
Filed under: uncultured bacterium
Lineage: Bacteria
Description: bacterial SSU rRNA
Rfam family: Bacterial small subunit ribosomal RNA
Source: RNAcentral
GAACGGUAGCACAGAGAGCUUGCUCUUGGGUGACGAGUGGCGGACGGGUGAGUAAUGUCUGGGAAACUGCCCGAUGGAGGGGGAUAACUACUGGAAACGGUAGCUAAUACCGCAUAACGUCUUCGGACCAAAGUGGGGGACCUUCGGGCCUCACACCAUCGGAUGUGCCCAGAUGGGAUUAGCUAGUAGGUGGGGUAAUGGCUCACCUAGGCGACGAUCCCUAGCUGGUCUGAGAGGAUGACCAGCCACACUGGAACUGAGACACGGUCCAGACUCCUACGGGAGGCAGCAGUGGGGAAUAUUGCACAAUGGGCGCAAGCCUGAUGCAGCCAUGCCGCGUGUAUGAAGAAGGCCUUCGGGUUGUAAAGUACUUUCAGCGAGGAGGAAGGUGUUGUGGUUAAUAACCGCAGCAAUUGACGUUACUCGCAGAAGAAGCACCGGCUAACUCCGUG